AGAACUUCGGUUUUUUCUUAAGCGGAGUGGCGGACGGGUGAGUAACACGUGGGGAACCUAUCCAUCAGCGGGGGAUAACACUUGGAAACAGGUGCUAAUACCGCAUACGGCUUUUUUUCACCUGAAAGAAAGCUCAAAGGCGCUUUACAGCGUCACUGAUGGCUGGCCCCGCGGUGCAUUAGCCAGUUGGUGAGGUAACGGCUCACCAAAGCAACGAUGCAUAGCCGACCUGAGAGGGUGAUCGGCCACACUGGGACUGAGACACGGCCCAGACUCCUACGGGAGGCAGCAGUAGGGAAUCUUCGGCAAUGGACGCAAGUCUGACCGAGCAACGCCGCGUGAGUGAAGAAGGUUUUCGGAUCGUAAAGCUCUGUUGUCAGCAAAGAACAGGAGAAAGAGGCAAUGCUUUUUCUAUGACGGUAGCUGACCAGAAAGCCACGGCUAACUACGUGCCAGCAGCCGCGGUAAUACGUAGGUGGCAAGCGUUGUCCGGAUUUAUUGGGCGUAAAGCGAGCGCAGGCGGUGAUUUAAGUCUGAUGUGAAAGCCCCCAGCUCAACUGGGGAGGGUCAUUGGAAACUGGAUCACUUGAGUGCAGAAGAGGAGAGUGGAAUUCCAUGUGUAGCGGUGAAAUGCGUAGAUAUAUGGAGGAACACCAGUGGCGAAGGCGGCUCUCUGGUCUGUAACUGACGCUGAGACUCGAAAGCGUGGGUAGCAAACAGGAUUAGAUACCCUGGUAGUCCACGCCGUAAACGAUGAGUGCUAAGUGUUGGAGGGUUUCCGCCCUUCAGUGCUGCAGUUA
RNAcentral lists this ribosomal RNA (800 nucleotides) under Tetragenococcus halophilus subsp. flandriensis. Its description in RNAcentral is "bacterial SSU rRNA". It matches the Rfam family "Bacterial small subunit ribosomal RNA", at positions 74 to 854 of the family's 1533-position model. The record is from RNAcentral. Lineage: Bacteria; Bacillati; Bacillota; Bacilli; Lactobacillales; Enterococcaceae.